GGGAGGGGGCGCAGGCGGUGGGGAAAUCACACCGCGACGUCACGCGGAGCCGCAGCCAUGAAGACGCAGCGGCGCGGGAGAGCUGAGCGCGAGAACUGCUGAGAGAGCGGAGCCGCUGCUCGCGCGCUGAAUAUUCGCACAUUGACGGCCAGGAGUCCAGCGUCGAGGUCUGAAUCUGAGCCUGUCACUUCCCCCUGUGGUUGAAAAAAAAGGAUGGUUGGCCGGAGGGGUUGGCUGUUAUCUUUGGUUAUCUAGCUGUAUGAGUGAUGUACAUUCUUCAUAAAGCUAGAUAACCGAAAGUAACAAGAAUCCCAUUACACACCUGAAAGGCACUGCCCACUCAGCACUCCACGCUCCGCCCCCUCACUCUUCUCAACUUAAGACAGGAGCCAAGAAACAAAAUAGCCUCUAGAAGGAAGACAAACGACCACCAAUCCUUCUCUCUCUCUCUGAAAGGGGGAAGGAAGACAUGGAGGAUGUAAAGGAGGAGGGGUGUGUUGGUGUUGAAGCUGCUCACCCUCCAUGCGCCCCAAUGAUGCGUCUCUUCUCUCUGCUCUCCACCCCUCCUCUCCCUGCCUGCCCCUUCCUCCUAUCACGAGCGGCAGCCCAUGCUUCGCCACCAUCUUAGAACACGCUGGCAUGAAAUGGAAGAGGGAGGAGGAACGAGCAGGUGUUGGAGGAAUAACAUAGAAGAUAAGAAUGAAUGAUAUGCAAACAUGGAUGACAAGUCAAUAUCGGCUGAUGAAGCACUUCAACUGAACUCAGAUGUCUGCACCCUUUUAAUGUGUGCCCCAACAUUUUGACAUUACAGCACUUUAAAAGGAUACUUUGUUAUUCUUGCGCUUAAUUGAUAUUUUAGCAAUCAUUUUCUUUUUUUUUAUUUUUUGUAAAAGUCUUUUUAGUCUAACAUUCUAUCAUUAGCUAUGCAUACUCCACCUGCAGUACAGGACAAGUAUUGAACAGUAAAAUACAGGAAAAAAUGACAAGGUCACUCAGGUGAAUCUACUAGCGAUUGUAUUGCAUCUUUUGUUUGUGGAAAUUUAUGGACCUGGGUUGGAAUGAAAAUCACAUAUAAUGCUACAUGUAUUUGGUUUUUAGUACCAGUAGAUCUUCUGGGGAUUAAAUGAGAAGGCCACCAUAAUGUAUAACUGUCUAGGAUUCUAAUGUGAAUUCAACUCACAUUAUUUUCAGAGAGAAGUUUAGAGGUCAAACACUUGUGUGUUUCAGAUAAAAAGAAAGAUCUUUUAAAAUGUAUUUAACCUAGGUCAAGACAAUCAGCUAGUCUAAUCUGCCUAUACAGACUCUUAUGAGCCAAUUCAAUCUUUAGCAUAGAGCACUUCACACAUUCAUAUAAGUUCAUUUUCUCUCUUUUGCUUUCUCUUCUGUUUUGUUUGAUGUUACAGGCAAAGCACUAUGAUAGAAAUUACACCACUAUGCUCUGGGCAUAACAUCAUUGUAUCCCUCUGUUAUAGCUGAUCAUGAAGUCAUGUUUAAAGUGGAUGGCUAAACAAUAAUUUCCACACACCACAGUCUGUUCUAUGGAUGAUUUAGAGCUUGUGAUUUGAGUGUAUGAAUGUGAGACCCACGGCCGGCAGCAGUGAAGGGUACUGCACUGUGAUUGAACAGCUCUGUGUGUUGACAGUUACACAUUUGGUGUAGAGAGAGCUGUUGUCUUUAUUCUCUAUGCAAUUGCGUCAGACUUGCAAUCAACAAGCAGCAGUGUAGGAUCGUUGCAGAAUCUCCACUAUUCAAAUUACACAACAAUAUUGUAGACAAAAAUAAUGAUACAGCAUUAAUAGUAGACAGAGGAAAUAUCUUUACAUGGAUCAAAUUGAGUUACAGAGUGGAUUUCAUUAUUAUUAUUAUUAUUUUAUUUAUUUUUUAUUUAAAUAACUAAGCUGAACAAUCAUCAGAAUGAAAAUCACUUGCACUAUGAGAGAUACAUCUUUACUAGCAUUUAAUAUACUUAGCAAAUGACUAAUCAGUGAGCACUAACUUUGAUUUCUUUUUUGGUUUUGUUUUUUGGUUGAGACUAACAUUUUAUUUCUUUGUAACUAUUCAUUUAUUUCUUCUCUUUCUAUCAUCUAAACACUGUUUAGUAGUUUUUGAGUGCUUACUUUUCUAAUCAAGCUUGGGCAGAGGCAAAUAUGUGUAUUUUAAUUGUCUAUGCAAAUUUGUUAGCAUUUUAUUAGGAAUUGUGAGAACUGUGCAAUCUAUUUUUGAGACCCACUUUGUUGUCAUGGACAUUAAUGUCCUUAAAAUUGUUUUGAAGGCAAUCAGCAUUUCAGUUAACCUUGUAUAACUAAUGCAGGUGACUAAUAUUUUUAAAAAUAUAAAUGUAAAAAUAGAACUAUUAGUACAAUGAAUGAAGAGUAUUUACUAUGCAAUUUAUGUAAAUCUGGAUAAUGUAUGCAUUUUUUAUGAGUUUUUGACUUGAUAAAAAAAAUAUUUUUGACUGAUUGCAAUGUUAAAAAUGUGUGAAAAAAUGAUCUAUGCAAAUAUUUUUCUGUCCUGCUGGUGUGAAAUGUAGGCUAUUUUUCUUUUCAUUAAGACUGAUGUGAUUAACUUGCUCCUACAGGCUACCAUUUGUGCCUUAAACUAUUUUGUCCUGUUAUGGAUACUAAUAAAAGGUUUACAUUGAAAA
Long non-coding RNA from Pygocentrus nattereri (red-bellied piranha), 2644 nucleotides. RefSeq lists it as uncharacterized. The transcript is spliced from 5 exons. The record is from RefSeq and is a predicted model, not a curated record. NCBI's taxonomy places the organism in Eukaryota, Metazoa, Chordata, Actinopteri, Characiformes, Serrasalmidae.